Molecule: ribosomal RNA, 590 nt
Filed under: uncultured Alphaproteobacteria bacterium
Lineage: Bacteria; Pseudomonadati; Pseudomonadota; Alphaproteobacteria
Description: bacterial SSU rRNA
Rfam family: Bacterial small subunit ribosomal RNA
Source: RNAcentral
GUCGAACGCACCGCAAGGUGAGUGGCAGACGGGUGAGUAACGCGUGGGAACCUUCCCUGUGGUACGGAAUAACUUCGGGAAACCGAAGCUAAUACCGUAUAUCUCCUCCGGGAGAAAGAUUUAUCGCCAUAGGAUGGGCCCGCGUUGGAUUAGCUAGUUGGUAGGGUAAUGGCCUACCAAGGCAACGAUCCAUAGCUGGUCUGAGAGGAUGAUCAGCCACACUGGGACUGAGACACGGCCCAGACUCCUACGGGAGGCAGCAGUGGGGAAUAUUGGACAAUGGGCGCAAGCCUGAUCCAGCCAUGCCGCGUGAGUGAAGAAGGCCUUAGGGUUGUAAAGCUCUUUUGGCGGGGACGAUAAUGACGGUACCCGCAGAAUAAGCCCCGGCUAACUUCGUGCCAGCAGCCGCGGUAAUACGAAGGGGGCUAGCGUUGUUCGGAAUCACUGGGCGUAAAGCGCACGCAGGCGGAUUGAUAAGUCAGGGGUGAAAUCCCGGGGCUCAACCUCGGAAUUGCCUUUGAUACUGUCUAUCUUGAGUUCGGGAGAGGUUGGCGGAAUUCCUAGUGUAGAGGUGAAAUUCGUAGAUAUUA